UCAUAAGUUAGACGACAAGAGGAACCGCUUUAAAAAAUAAGCAAUGAUAUUUCAGUGUUAAACUAUAUGGCGAGUGACAGAAAAUCGGAGGCCCCGACUGUUUACUAAAAACACAAUUUUCAGCAAUGAUGAAUAUCAUAGUAUUGAAGAUGAAAUUUGCUCGAUGCCAAUAAUAUAACCUUUUACCCUGAAUUUUAUUUUUUUACUUUAAUAGAAUUUAACCUUUUAAACUAUGCGUAUGGAUAUUUAGACCUACUUGUAUUAGGAAACUCAUACAACCCAGACCCCUACCUUAAAUUAAUUUACUGGGUAAUUCUAGGUUUAACCUAGAAUUUGGUGCUUAAUUAAUUUAAGUUUAAGUUUAUUUAUUCCCUAACCGCCUUAAUAAUUUUAUUCUAUUUAAGCAAUUCUAAAAUAGGGAGGAGAGGGAAGUUCUGGUGAAUGGCGGUCUUAACUAUGAGGAUCCUAAGGUAGCAAAAUAAAUUGGCCAUUAAAUGUGGUCCGGUAUCAAUAAUGUAACGAUGGCCUCACUGUCUCUACAACUUGCUCAGUGAAAUUGAAUUGCACGUGCAGAUGCGUGCGACCUUUAGGGGGACGGGAAGACC
Molecule: ribosomal RNA, 605 nt
Filed under: Typhula maritima
Lineage: Eukaryota; Fungi; Basidiomycota; Agaricomycetes; Agaricales; Typhulaceae
Description: LSU rRNA
Rfam family: Bacterial large subunit ribosomal RNA
Source: RNAcentral